UACGUCGGGUGCAAGCGUUGUCCGGAAUUAUUGGGCGUAAAGAGCUCGUAGGCGGUUUGUUGCGUCGGCUGUGAAAUCCCGAGGCUCAACCUCGGGUCUGCAGUCGAUACGAGCAAACUAGAGUGUUGCAGGGGAGACUGGAAUUCCUGGUGUAGCGGUGAAAUGCGCAGAUAUCAGGAGGAACACCAGUGGCGAAGGCGAGUCCCUGGACGAUUUCUGACACUGAGGCACGAAAGCUAGGGGAGCAAACAGG
RNAcentral lists this ribosomal RNA (253 nucleotides) under uncultured bacterium. Its description in RNAcentral is "partial 16S ribosomal RNA". It matches the Rfam family "Bacterial small subunit ribosomal RNA", at positions 524 to 776 of the family's 1533-position model. The record is from RNAcentral.